Molecule: ribosomal RNA, 121 nt
Filed under: uncultured bacterium
Lineage: Bacteria
Description: partial 16S ribosomal RNA
Rfam family: Bacterial small subunit ribosomal RNA
Source: RNAcentral
UGAAACUGGGAGUCUUGAGGGCAGGAGAGGAAAGUGGAAUUCCUGGUGUAGCGGUGAAAUGCGUAGAAAUCAGGAGGAACACCGGUGGCGAAGGCGACUGACUGGACUGACCCUGACGCUG